Molecule: small RNA, 83 nt
Filed under: Marmota monax (woodchuck)
Lineage: Eukaryota; Metazoa; Chordata; Mammalia; Rodentia; Sciuridae
Source: RNAcentral
ACUGGGCACAGUGGCGAAUGCCUGUAAUCCCAGCAGCUUGGGAGGCUGAGGCAGGAAAAUUGAGAGUUCAAAGCCAGCCUCAA